GGUGGCUCAGUGGUAGAGUGCUUGCCUCACAGGCAUGAGGCCCUGGGUUCAACUACUCAGCACCA
Molecule: transfer RNA, 65 nt
Filed under: Dipodomys ordii (Ord's kangaroo rat)
Lineage: Eukaryota; Metazoa; Chordata; Mammalia; Rodentia; Heteromyidae
Rfam family: tRNA
About the family: Transfer RNA (tRNA) molecules are approximately 80 nucleotides in length. Their secondary structure includes four short double-helical elements and three loops (D, anti-codon, and T loops).
Source: Rfam by way of RNAcentral